Small nuclear RNA from Monodelphis domestica (gray short-tailed opossum), 104 nucleotides. The record is from Ensembl. Lineage: Eukaryota; Metazoa; Chordata; Mammalia; Didelphimorphia; Didelphidae.
UUGCUUUGGCAGCACAUAUAUUAAAAGUGGAAUGAUCCAGAGAAGAUUAGAAUGGCCCCUGCUCAAAGAUGCCAUGCAACUUGUGGCUGCUUGAAGCCACCAAU